AAUGAAGUCCAACACAACCCAAUUCUUCAGUUGCAGGAUUUGAAGUGUAUUAAUGGGUGGUAUAAAGGGAGAAUGUAAGAAGAAUAUGAUAAAAAUCCCCAAAGGUUGUUUUUCAGUUUAUGUUGGAUCUGAAAGACAAAGGUUUAUUGUGAAGACAAAGUUUGUUGCACACCCAUUAUUCAAGAUGUUACUUGAUGAAGCAGAAGAGGAAUUUGGGUUUCAAAAUGAUGGACCAAUUAGGCUUCCAUGUAACGUUGAUUUGUUCUAUAAAGUUUUGGCUGAAAUGAAUAAUUUUGAUGAAGAGGUUAAUAAGAUUAAUGAUGGUAUUUUUAGAAGCUUUAACAAGGCUAAAAGGUUUUCAUUAUUUUGUUCUUCGAAACCAAAGCUAUAUGAAUAAAAUAUAAGUCAUUCGUGAAGUGUAUAGUGUUAGGGAUAAGAAAACAAGGUAAUGGCCAUAAGUUAAUCUUGGUUAAUUUCAUGCUAAUCUGUGAGCAAGGAUAACUACUUUGUUUUACAGGAACUAGUGCCAAACAGUUAUGUGUGAACGUUGUUUCACACGAAUUGUGCAUUUGUUUACAUGAAUUUUUAUAAGACAAAUGUUUCUAUUUAAGAUUUGAA
Molecule: long non-coding RNA, 618 nt
Organism: Lathyrus oleraceus (garden pea)
Lineage: Eukaryota; Viridiplantae; Streptophyta; Magnoliopsida; Fabales; Fabaceae
Exons: 2
Source: RefSeq, a predicted model, not a curated record